AUACAGAGGGUGCAAGCGUUAAUCGGAUUUACUGGGCGUAAAGCGCGCGUAGGCGGUAUAUCAAGUUAGGCGUGAAAGCCCCGGGCUCAACCCGGGAACUGCGCUUAUUACUGAUAAACUAGAGUCCGGGAGAGGGUGGCGGAAUUCCCAGUGUAGAGGUGAAAUUCGUAGAUAUUGGGAAGAACACCAGUUGCGAAGGCGGCCACCUGGACCGGUACUGACGCUGAGGUGCGAAAGCGUGGGGAGCAAACAGGAUUAGAAACCCCUGUAGUCC
This 274-nucleotide ribosomal RNA is filed under the name uncultured bacterium. RNAcentral describes it as "partial 16S ribosomal RNA". It matches the Rfam family "Bacterial small subunit ribosomal RNA", at positions 523 to 796 of the family's 1533-position model. The record is from RNAcentral.